This 789-nucleotide ribosomal RNA is filed under the name uncultured Actinomycetes bacterium. Its description in RNAcentral is "bacterial SSU rRNA". It matches the Rfam family "Bacterial small subunit ribosomal RNA", at positions 560 to 1346 of the family's 1533-position model. The record is from RNAcentral. Lineage: Bacteria; Bacillati; Actinomycetota; Actinomycetes.
GUAAAGAGCUCGUAGGUGGUUUGUCGCGUCGUCUGUGAAAUCCCGGGGCUUAACUUCGGGCGUGCAGGCGAUACGGGCAUAACUAGAGUGCUGUAGGGGAGACUGGAAUUCCUGGUGUAGCGGUGAAAUGCGCAGAUAUCAGGAGGAACACCGAUGGCGAAGGCAGGUCUCUGGGCAGUUACUGACGCUGAGGAGCGAAAGCAUGGGUAGCGAACAGGAUUAGAUACCCUGGUAGUCCAUGCCGUAAACGGUGGGCGCUAGGUGUGGGGGUUUUAUUUACGAUUCCCGUGCCGUAGCUAACGCAUUAAGCGCCCCGCCUGGGGAGUACGGCCGCAAGGCUAAAACUCAAAGGAAUUGACGGGGGCCCGCACAAGCGGCGGAGCAUGUGGAUUAAUUCGAUGCAACGCGAAGAACCUUACCUGGGCUUGACAUACACCGGAUCGCUGCAGAGAUGUAGUUUCCCUUGUGGCUGGUGUACAGGUGGUGCAUGGUUGUCGUCAGCUCGUGUCGUGAGAUGUUGGGUUAAGUCCCGCAACGAGCGCAACCCUUGUCUUGUGUUGCCAGCACGUUAUGGUGGGGACUCGCGAGAGACUGCCGGGGUUAACUCGGAGGAAGGUGGGGAUGACGUCAAAUCAUCAUGCCCCUUAUGUCCAGGGCUUCACAUAUGCUACAAUGGUCGGUACAGUGGGUUGCGAUACCGUGAGGUGGAGCUAAUCCCUUAAAGCCGGUCUCAGUUCGGAUUGGAGUCUGCGACUCGACUCCAUGAAGUCGGAGUCGCUAGUAAUCGCA